Molecule: ribosomal RNA, 508 nt
Filed under: uncultured bacterium
Lineage: Bacteria
Description: partial 16S ribosomal RNA
Rfam family: Bacterial small subunit ribosomal RNA
Source: RNAcentral
GAUGAACGCUAGCUACAGGCUUAACACAUGCAAGUCGAGGGGAAACGAUAGAGAAAGCUUGCUUUUUCUAGGCGUCGACCGGCGCACGGGUGAGUAACGCGUAUCCAACCUGCCCAUCACUUGGGGAUAACCUUGCGAAAGUAAGACUAAUACCCAAUGACGUCUCUAAAAGACAUCUGAAAGAGAUUAAAGACUUAUCGGUGAUUGAUGGGGAUGCGUCUGCUUAGCUUGUUGGCGGGGUAACGGCCCACCAAGGCGACGAUCAGUAGGGGUUCUGAGAGGAAGGUCCCCCACAUUGGAACUGAGACACGGUCCAAACUCCUACGGGAGGCAGCAGUGAGGAAUAUUGGUCAAUGGACGAGAGUCUGAACCAGCCAAGUAGCGUGCAGGAUGACGGCCCUAUGGGUUGUAAACUGCUUUUAUAAGGGAAUAAAGUGAGAGUCGUGACUCUUUUUGCAUGUACCUUAUGAAUAAGGACCGGCUAAUUCCGUGCCAGCCGCCGCCGUAA